UAUGUUCAUCUCAUUUCCCAUGAGUUGGUUUAUUUCUCAAAACAUCACAAAAAACGCUAACUUUAACACAAGCAUGUUCCUUGUGACAAUCUUAUUCUGGCCUGAUUAUUUUCAAACACACAAAUACUGUAGGAAGUUGUAUAAUAAAAGUUUAACUUUAUAGACAACAUGAUACUUACUGUAUGUUGAACUAAUAUAACAACAAUCUGCAGCAAACAUUGAGUCAUUCUUAAAAAUAAAAAUGUUUUACAAAUUGCUCCAGAAUACAAAAUAAUAGUGAAUACAAAGAACAGGUAACGACCUUUAAUGCCGCGUGUAGGUGCUUGUCGGAACUGGGAAACCUCUGACUUGCUAACUGGUUGAACACGUGUAUAACUAACAAGUCGAAAAAUUCAGAGUUGCAGCAUUUAGCCAGAGCAAUCACACACCUCAUUCAAUUUCCAAUCAAUUCAGAAAACACAAUCCUAAAUCAACACAACAAAUCAAUACAACCUAUCAUUUCCUUGCGUGAACUGCCUGGUGUCUUAUCAGAUUGCUCAGAAAGGAGAAGUUUUUUCCACACUGGGUGCAGUGGAAACGUUUUUCCCCUGUAUGGACACUCUGAUGCACUUUCAGGUUGCUGGAAUGAGAGAACUGUUUCCCGCAUUGAGCGCAUCUGAAAGGUUUCUCCCCUGUGUGUACUCUCUGGUGCCUCUUCAGGCCACACAGCUGGCUGAACUGCUUCCCACACAGGGCGCACUCGUACGGUUUCUCCCCUGUGUGAACCCUCUGGUGCAUCUUGAGCUGGCACAGGUGAGGGUACUCCCUCUCACAGAAGUUGCACCUGUAGGACCUCGCCCCCUCCUCCCUAGACCCUCUGUCCUGAUGAGUCCCAGUCACGUCGCCCAGGUGGGUGUCGGGGGCGCUCCCAGGGAAAUCCACCCAGGUGGGGUACUGCAGCUCCUCGGUUCCCGUGGCGUAUGGAGUGGCGGUGGUUGCGGGGUUCUGAAAGGUGCCGAGGCGGUUGUUGAAUGCGCCAUCCAAGCCGAUGGUGUAAAAGUGAUUGUCAGAUGAGUUCUGUCUCGCUGCUGGCUGGACACCUGGGUGAGGAUGAUGAUGAUGAUGAUAAGCGUUACUCGAAUGUCCUCCGAGAAGCAUGGCAUCUGCUUCACUAUGUCCUCCAUGAUGAUGCCCGUGUUCCAUGAUGUCACCUUGUCUCCAGGACGAGGGCGUGCCAUCCCCAUCUUCCCCCUCGUCAACAUGGAGGGGGUCAAUAACUAUGACCUCAGACUUGACCUCUGAACUGCCCUGGGAAUUCUCGUGUUCACCCCUCACCAUCUGAGGAAGUGGGGGAAUGGGGUUCACCUUUUUGAGAGGCGAGGGGCUUCCUGAGACUGUCUCUGCAACAUAACUAGAACAAGACGGCCGAUCAUUCUCUAUAUCACUGCCUCUUCGCUUACGGGAGUUUACAGGCAGAUCGGUUGUUCUCUCGCAGUUUAGGCUGCGCUGCUGUUUAGCAACAGGUCCUGGACCUGUGAGUUGGAACACCUGGCUCAGGCUCUCAGGCUCCGGGUCUGACUUGAAAACAUUGUCUGAUCUGUUGACAGUCACUAUGCUGUGUUUGGUUCUGAGCUGCUCAGUGAGCUCUGUUUGGUCCGUGUCUAGAGAGGUCGGUGUGUUUGGGUCUGUCAUUCUGUGGCCACUAUCAGUGCCUGAAGAGACAGCAAAAGCAUGAUGGUCAUUAUGCAGUCAAAUAAAACAAUGAGGUUGUCAAUCAGUAUGUCAUUUUUCAUUACAGCAAUCCAUAAAUCAUUACCUGGCAUCUCCCUCAGACCAUCUUCUUUCUUCCAUGGCUGGAGGUCUCUCUCCCCUUCCACAGUAGAUUUGUCCUGAAAAGAGGAGGGAGGAAUUAAGUAGACAGACAUGAGCUCUACAAAGCUCUCAAACAAAUGCAGGUCUAUUAUAACUCAGAUAUUACUAGGCUAUAAUAUUGAUCGAAUGGCUUGAAUUAAGAUGUUAA
Molecule: long non-coding RNA, 1999 nt
Organism: Oncorhynchus tshawytscha (Chinook salmon)
Lineage: Eukaryota; Metazoa; Chordata; Actinopteri; Salmoniformes; Salmonidae
Source: Ensembl